AGCAGUCGCCACGGUAAAACGAAGGGGGCUAGCGUUGCUCGGAAUCACUGGGCGUAAAGGGUGCGUAGGCGGGUCUUUAAGUCAGGGGUGAAAUCCUGGAGCUCAACUCCAGAACUGCCUUUGAUACUGAAGAUCUUGAGUUCGGGAGAGGUGAGUGGAACUGCGAGUGUAGAGGUGAAAUUCGUAGAUAUUCGCAAGAACACCAGUGGCGAAGGCGGCUCACUGGCCCGAUACUGACGCUGAGGCACGAAAGCGUGGGGAGCAAACAGGAUUAGAUACCCCCGUAGUCCCUGUCUCUUAUAA
RNAcentral lists this ribosomal RNA (303 nucleotides) under uncultured bacterium. Its description in RNAcentral is "partial 16S ribosomal RNA". It matches the Rfam family "Bacterial small subunit ribosomal RNA", at positions 507 to 809 of the family's 1533-position model. The record is from RNAcentral.